Molecule: long non-coding RNA, 1218 nt
Filed under: Mytilus galloprovincialis (Mediterranean mussel)
Lineage: Eukaryota; Metazoa; Mollusca; Bivalvia; Mytilida; Mytilidae
Source: RNAcentral
AAAGAUUCUGAAUCUGAGUACAUAUUAAGUACAUAGAAUUUAUUCAUUUACUGCACAUAUUAUAUAUUGAUGAUGUAUAUCUAUUCUAAACGUGUAACUUAAUGGCUUAUUUCAAGGAGUAUAUGUAUUAUCAAGCAAAUGUAUAUAUGCAUUUGCAUUGCAUCCUAAAAAGUAAUUUUCAAAAAGAAUGGAUACCGCAUACUAAAUGUUGUCAUACAUCAGUUUUAUUCUUUUCAUUUUUCGUCUCAUUAUUGAAAGCAAUUGACAUUUACAAAAGGUUUUGGCUUCUUUUCUUCCACUGAUAAGAUCCAACGAAUAACAGUAUGUUUAUAUUCAAUUUGAAAACCUGCAUUAGAAUGGUGCAUUAGGCAUAAAGUGUAAUUUUGGUCAGUGCCAAAAAGAAAAAGAAAAUUUUCAACUUUUAAAAAAUAUUUUUGGCUUAAAAAAAACUAUUUUGGAGGGUCUGGAUGGCCUAAAAUUCUCAUGUUUCUGUAUUCUUUCUUUUUUUUCUGCUUGAUCAAAUUGUAAUUCAUUGUUGGCAAAUAUGUGUCAUCUCUAUGGUAAAACUUGUCUUGUUACUGCAUACACAGCAAUUAAUAAUUAAGCAGAGUUGUUCUGCAACUAAAAUUUAAUCAUUCAGGUACUUUGCUUGACAUACAGCAUACAGGUUAGUGAGAUUUGAGAAUACUAUAAACAACAUAUUUUAAUGUAUACUCCCCCCCUUUCUAGUCCUCUUCCCAGCAUUAUAAGUCCAUGAUUUUCAAAUUUUCCUGAUGUAGUUAAUUAAGAAAAGACCCCAGUUUAACAUAUUUGCAACAAUUAUUGUAUGGGUUAUUUUUUACAUGCGAAAUUGCGAAAAACAAAUUGCUUGCAAAAAAAUCUAUUCAGACACAGUAUUAUCACAACUUAAACAGUGCAUGCACCUUUGUGUUGAAUGCUUGAUAACAGAUAUCACAACUUAAACAGUGCAUGCACCUUUGUGUUGAAUGCUUGAUAACAGAUUUUGGUUUUAACAGAGAGCUUAGCAGUUUUAGAAUUAAACUUAUACAUUUGUAGAAGAAUUCAAGAUGUUAUUUUUCAAUUAUUAUUUUUUUUCAGAAGUGCAUUUGACAAAAUGAUCAGAUUUUAUUCCUCUUAUUUGUUUGUGAUAACCAUUUAAAAAAACUUUUAUAUGUAUCUGAAAAAGAAAAUUUAUGCAGCAAUAUAAAUGUAUUUAAU